This 45-nucleotide transfer RNA is filed under the name Eugenia bimarginata. RNAcentral's name for it is "partial tRNA-His". Lineage: Eukaryota; Viridiplantae; Streptophyta; Magnoliopsida; Myrtales; Myrtaceae. The record is from RNAcentral.
CGGAGGUACCCAAGGGGACCAAGGCCGUGGAUUUGGGAAUCCCCC